UUACUGAUGAAGAGUCCCAAACUGGGACGAAACAGCUGUCCAGUAC
RNAcentral lists this non-coding RNA (46 nucleotides) under Trichobilharzia regenti. The record is from RNAcentral. Lineage: Eukaryota; Metazoa; Platyhelminthes; Trematoda; Strigeidida; Schistosomatidae.